GCACUUCUGGAGCCCAGGUUGGGGGCUGCACCUGUUCAGGAGUAGGCUGGAAACUUGGGCCUGCCCUCAGGCGGCGCUCACUCAAGCCCAGCGUCAGUGCUGCGCAGCCCCGAGGGACGGGCGCGCCAGCCCCAGGGAACCGAGUUUUCUCCUGCGAGCCAGGACACGUUCGCGCCAGAAAGCCGAUUCGCCGAAACCCUCAGCACCGGGAAGCCACUGGAACGAUGGGGUAGAAAAGAUCGCGAUCUCCACUUAGCACGGGUAUUGACCACAUCGGGGAAACGUGUUUCACGUCCGCGGGCACGUCUCCUGGGUUGUCGAGUAAAAUGCGCUUCUGGUGCCAGGGAUUUUCAAGAUGGAAAGCCUCUGCGGAGAGGUUGGCAGUAAGCCUAGAACUGGUAGGGAUAGAGCGCGGAAAGGGACAGGACUCCACAGGCGGAUUUGAAAAGGAGCAACAACUGAGCCAGAGGACAGCACUGCCCUCUGUCCGGUUGAGGUCUGCUGUUGUCACCACCUUACCCUAAACAAUUUGGUGGCAGAGGCCAGAGCAAAGGGCACUUCUGACAGCUUUGGGGACACCAAGAAACAGGCAUAAAACUCUGCAAACACUGAGUUUACUGUCUUUCUCACCAUUUCCAAGGGCCAUGGGUACCUCUGUGAAAAAGGAAGAGAGAUCCACAUCACCCAUAAUGCCUGAACUGAAAAGUAGGAAUACAAGCAUUUAUUUUUAUAGAGGUGAGCCAAAGAACCUAGAAGGAAGACGGAAAAAUUUUCUUCCCCUGCACAUGGCACUUGAAGCCCUAAGUCACGUGGCUCCUGCUUGCCUUCAGUGUCCUCUCCUGACCUUCUCUGGUAUGGUAAUAGUUUAUUUCUAGACCAAGGGUCAGCCAACUUUUUCUAUAAAGGGCCAAAUAGUAAACAUUUUAGAUUCUGCAGCCUGUGGAGUCUUUGUUUCAACUAUUCAACUCUCUGAAAGCAGCCGCGAAUAAUAUGUAAAUAAACAAGUAUGGCUGUAUUUUUUCCAAUUAAAUGCUCUUUAAUGAACAUUAGAAUCUUAUAUUUUUCAUGUGUCAUGACAUUAUUUUUGUAAAUUUAUUCCCAACCAUUUAAAAAUGUAAAAAGCAUUCUAUAGAAUGGUUGCAGAGAAACAGGCCGUGGAUUUGGAGGCUUGUGGGCUCUGACCUCUGCUCCAGCUGUAGGGAAGGCCCUGUAAUUCUCUAAGUGUUCUAGAUGGUUUCUUGGCCCAUGCCCUCAUUCAUGCUGUUUCUCUCUCUGAACAGCUUUUCCCCUUUAUGCCUGGCUUUCUCCCAUUUAACCAUCAGGACUCACUACAGGCUCCACUUUCUUGGGGGGAAGCAAGUCUUUUCUGACCCCAACAGGUACAGGUAAGUGCCUAUCUUUUGGGCUCCUAUAUCACCCUACGCAUAUCUUUAUUAUGACACUUACCCACGUUGUAUUACACGUUCUAUCGUAUGUCUGCUCCUGCCAUUCCUCCACUAAAACACUGUAUUUGAGUCAUCUUUGUAUCCCUAAUACUUAGCACAGUGCCUGGCCUCUAAUAGGUAAUCAAGAACAUUUGUUGAACUGCAUCAAGAAAUCUAUAAGAUGGUACACUGCUGAUUGAUUUUGUCUAAAUAGAAGAGGAUCCCAUGUAUCAUAUAUAUAUAAAUGAUUAUAACACUA
This is a long non-coding RNA of Neofelis nebulosa (Clouded leopard), 1683 nucleotides long. RefSeq lists it as uncharacterized. The transcript is spliced from 5 exons. The record is from RefSeq and is a predicted model, not a curated record. Lineage: Eukaryota; Metazoa; Chordata; Mammalia; Carnivora; Felidae.